Molecule: long non-coding RNA, 331 nt
Filed under: Vigna radiata
Lineage: Eukaryota; Viridiplantae; Streptophyta; Magnoliopsida; Fabales; Fabaceae
Description: long non-coding RNA (VRAD_LNC018217)
Source: RNAcentral
UGGUGUCACUUCUGCAUGCAACCCUUCUUCUUCCUCAAACUCAAAUUCCAGAAGCCAUCAUUUUCUCCUCCUUCUCUCUAAGCUCUCCAACAUCUCUCUAGAUUUCUGACCAUUUCCCCUCCUCCGAUCAUCAACCUUCUUUUAGAAUAAAUCUUCCCGGCAAUGAGACCUUCCAAUUGCACCGAUCAUAAUCUUGUUUGGAGCACUUUGGAAUCUCGAAGCCAUAGGAGUAGUACUCUCAAAGACUUAGAAGAAAUAACUGGAGUUAGAGGUAAGGGAAGCUUAUAAAUUUAAUUAUGAUGAUUUUGUAUGUAUGAUUUUAUGAGUAUGU